GCAUAUCAAUAAGCGGAGGAAAAGAAACCAACAGGGAUUGCCCUAGUAACGGCGAGUGAAGCGGCAACAGCUCAAAUUUGAAAUCUGGCCCAAGCCCGAGUUGUAAUUUGUAUAGGAUGCUUCAGGGCAGCGGCCGGUCUAAGUUCCUUGGAACGGGACGUCAUAGAGGGUGAGAAUCCCGUAUGCGACCGGUUGGCACCCGUCACGUAUCUCCUUCGACGAGUCGAGUUGUUUGGGAAUGCAGCUCUAAAUGGGAGGUAAAUUUCUUCUAAAGCUAAAUACCGGCCAGAGACCGAUAGCGCACAAGUAGAGUGAUCGAAAGAUGAAAAGCACUUUGGAAAGAGAGUUAAAAAGCACGUGAAAUUGUUGAAAGGGAAGCGCAUGCAACCAGACUUGUCGGCGGUGUUCCGCCGGUCUUUUGACCGGUCUAUUCGCCGCCGGCAGGCCAGCAUCAUCUGGGCGCGCCGGAUAAAGGCGUGGGGAAUGUAGCUCCUCGGAGUGUUAUAGCCCUGCGCACAAUACGGCGUCGCCCGGGUGAGGUCCGCGCUUCGGCUAGGAUGCUGGCGUAAUGGUUGUCUGCGGCCCGUCUUGAAACACGGACCAAGGAGUCUAACAUCUAUGCGAGUGUUCGGGUGUCAAACCCCUACGCGUAAUGAAAGUGAACGGAGGUGGGAAGCGCAAGCUGCACCAUCGACCGAUCCUGAUGUCUUCGGAUGGAUUUGAGUAAGAGCAUAGCUGUUGGGACCCGAAAGAUGGUGAACUAUGCCUGAAUAGGGUGAAGCCAGAGGAAACUCUGGUGGAGGCUCGCAGCGGUUCUGACGUGCAAAUCGAUCGUCAAAUUUGGGUAUGGGGGCUAAAGACUAAUCGAACCAUCUAUUAUCUGG
RNAcentral lists this ribosomal RNA (884 nucleotides) under Teratosphaeria miniata. RNAcentral describes it as "LSU rRNA". It matches the Rfam family "Eukaryotic large subunit ribosomal RNA", at positions 38 to 954 of the family's 3401-position model. The record is from RNAcentral. Lineage: Eukaryota; Fungi; Ascomycota; Dothideomycetes; Mycosphaerellales; Teratosphaeriaceae.